Aquila chrysaetos chrysaetos is the source of this 132-nucleotide small nucleolar RNA. Ensembl annotates it as small nucleolar RNA SNORA13. NCBI's taxonomy places the organism in Eukaryota, Metazoa, Chordata, Aves, Accipitriformes, Accipitridae. The record is from Ensembl.
UGCCUUUGUGUUGCCUGUUCAUUCCUGUCCAGAAUGAAUGUGGUGUCAAAAAAGGCAAACAGGAAUUCUUGCUCAAACUGUUUAAGGAGCUGGUUAUUUACCUUUCUCCUCCCUGUUUUCGCAAGGACAAAA